AUUGAACGCUGGCGGAAUGCUUUACACAUGCAAGUCGAACGGCAGCACGGGGGCAACCCUGGUGGCGAGUGGCGAACGGGUGAGUAAUACAUCGGAACGUGCCCAGUCGUGGGGGAUAACGUAGCGAAAGUUACGCUAAUACCGCAUACGAUCUAAGGAUGAAAGCGGGGGACCGGAAGGCCUCGCGCGAUUGGAGCGGCCGAUGUCAGAUUAGGUAGUUGGUGAGGUAAAGGCUCACCAAGCCGACGAUCUGUAGCUGGUCUGAGAGGACGACCAGCCACACUGGGACUGAGACACGGUCCAGACUCCUACGGGAGGCAGCAGUGGGGAAUUUUGGACAAUGGACGCAAGUCUGAUCCAGCCAUUCCGCGUGCAGGAUGAAGGCCCUCGGGUUGUAAACUGCUUUUGUACGGAACGAAAAGGUCUCUCUUAAUACGGGGGACUCAUGACGGUACCGUAAGAAUAAGCACCGGCUAACUACGUGCCAGCCGCCGCCGUAA
Molecule: ribosomal RNA, 500 nt
Filed under: uncultured bacterium
Lineage: Bacteria
Description: partial 16S ribosomal RNA
Rfam family: Bacterial small subunit ribosomal RNA
Source: RNAcentral